Molecule: long non-coding RNA, 618 nt
Filed under: Elaeis guineensis (African oil palm)
Lineage: Eukaryota; Viridiplantae; Streptophyta; Magnoliopsida; Arecales; Arecaceae
Description: long non-coding RNA (EGUI_LNC073492)
Source: RNAcentral
UGGUGGGAGGUGGUGGAGUUUUGUGUUCUCGUCUACAUUUUUUUUAUUCUCUCAAAAUGGGGACAAUAAGCCCUUUCUUUAAUACCAAUCUAUUACUGUAAGGCUCCAAGGAGGUGCUGAUGUGGUUGGAGUUGGAUGUCGCUCGAGCUCCACAGCAUUGGAGAGUACCUACAAAGAAAGUCCACAUUUGUCGAGAUGUUCCAAUAGGAGAUCUUCUGAUGCCUAAGUCAGUCGGAGCUUUGAAAAUAGUAAAGAGAAAAGAUAGCGAUAGUCGAAAGAGCAAAGAAAGUACUCCUUUCUUCCCUCUUAAGGCUUCCCCUUCUCUCGAGUGUUUGAGUUUGCUUGCUUCUUUCUUUCUUACCUGAGGGUCCCCUUCCUACCUCUUUUAUAUUGAGUUGAGCCCAUAAGCUGCUAGCCAAAAUCUAUGAGUUUGUUAGACCUAGCUCUAUAGGCCAUCAGAUCACAUUCUGACCCUUUAUUGAGGGAGGAAUUGCUCCCACCUCUGAAUUGAGGUUGUUAGUCGUAGAUGUCAGGUAUAAACUUCACCUUCAUGACUAGCCAAAUUGGUGGUCCUGCAUGGAUUCACAGUUGGUGUGACCUCCCUAUGUCAUCUUAGGU